Molecule: ribosomal RNA, 600 nt
Filed under: uncultured bacterium
Lineage: Bacteria
Description: bacterial SSU rRNA
Rfam family: Bacterial small subunit ribosomal RNA
Source: RNAcentral
CUCAUGCACGAAAAGCGUGGGUAUCGAACAGGGAUUAGAUACCCUGGUAGUCCACGCGGUAAACGAUGAUAACUAGUUAUCCGGCCAGAUUGAUGGUUGGGUGACCGAGCGAAAGCGUUAAGUUAUCCACCUGGGGAGUACGCCGGCAACGGUGAAACUCAAAGGAAUUGACGGGGGCCCGCACAAGCGGAGGAACAUGUGGUUUAAUUCGAUGAUACGCGAGGAACCUUACCCGGGCUCAAACGCAAGGCGCUACAUCCUGAAAGGGGUGGUUCUUCGGACGUCUUGCGAGGUGCUGCAUGGUUGUCGUCAGCUCGUGCCGUGAGGUGUCGGCUUAAGUGCCAUAACGAGCGCAACCCCCAUCUUCAGUUGCCAUCGGGUCAGGCCGGGCACUCUGGAGAGACUGCCGGCGCAAGCUGUGAGGAAGGCGGGGAUGACGUCAAAUCAGCACGGCCCUUACGUCCGGGGCGACACACGUGUUACAAUGGCGGGGUGACAGCGGGAAGCCAGGCGGCGACGCCGAGCCGAUCCCGAAAACCCGUCUCAGUUCGGAUCGGAGUCUGCAACCCGACUCCGUGAAGCUGGAUUCGCUAGUAAUCG